RNAcentral lists this ribosomal RNA (460 nucleotides) under uncultured bacterium. RNAcentral describes it as "partial 16S ribosomal RNA". It matches the Rfam family "Bacterial small subunit ribosomal RNA", at positions 338 to 795 of the family's 1533-position model. The record is from RNAcentral.
CCUACGGGAGGCAGCAGUGAGGAAUAUUGGUCAAUGGACGCAAGUCUGAACCAGCCAUGCCGCGUGCAGGAAGACGGCUCUAUGAGUUGUAAACUGCUUUUGUACGAGGGUAAACACAGAUACGCGUAUCUGUCUGAAAGUAUCGUACGAAUAAGGAUCGGCUAACUCCGUGCCAGCAGCCGCGGUAAUACGGAGGAUUCAAGCGUUAUCCGGAUUUAUUGGGUUUAAAGGGUGCGUAGGCGGUCGGAUAAGUUAGAGGUGAAAUCCCGGGGCUCAACUUCGGAAUUGCCGCUGAUACUGGUCGUCUAGAGAGUAGUUGCGGUAGGCGGAAUGUAUGGUGUAGCGGUGAAAUGCUUAGAGAUCAUACAGAACACCGAUUGCGAAGGCAGCUUACCAAGCUACUUCUGACGUUGAGGCACGAAAGCGUGGGGAGCAAACAGGAUUAGAUACCCCAGUAGUC